UUGGUUGCUAUGGGCAACUCAGCAACUUUUCUUCUGGACAGGUUUUGAUGAAUCUCCCCCCCAAGUGCCUUAAAAAACUGAACUCCUCCUUUUUGUGCCAACUUGGGAUCUCUGUCUGUGAUACCCAGUCCAACUUGACUCCAGCCUCCACUCACCUUUAAAGGGGUACACCGGUCCGGUCCCCGCCGCGCAGGGAACAUUCUAUACUAGAAGACAAAGGACAGAAGGUUAACAAUGCAGGUUCCUAUGUGGGGACCUUUAAUCAGUAGAGACCUCAGCUGCCGGCUCGCCUCCAGCAAGUGGAUGUAGGGAAGGAGAUAUUAAUACAAUUGAUGGUUGUGUCAGAGACGUUUAUCUUCAAGACUCCUUCAUCUCUACGAAAGGUCAUUUAAAGCUGAACAGACUGCACUAGGAGAACCAUGAAAUUUUAUUCUGCUCUCGCACCCAAUAUCAGCCUGACCGGGUCGGGGGCAAUUAGCUUCUCGCUAUAAACUUUCCUCUAAGCCAUUUUCUGUAAUGUGCGCUGGAAGGAUUGCAUCUACCAAGGCUUUGUCUCCUCGUGAUACAGCAAAGGUCAUUCACACUCAUGAAAAUUAUAUUUAUCGGGCAGAUACGAAAUAACCACAGAGCUUCUCCAACCACAGCGAACGCUAACCACCCGACGCCGGCAACACGAGUAAUGAGUAUACAGGCAGCCGGUGACACCGAGUCCUAUAAUAGCCGGUCUUGAUGAUGCAUCUCUCCAGUCUGUCUGUGAUUAGAUUUCAAGUGAAAAAUGACAGGGAACGUCCUUUGUGAAACGCAUGGCGCCGACGCAUGACUGGCUGACCGAAGACAUCUCAAGCCAGAGAGAGAUCCAAACAGCCUGCGACACUGAUUGUGAUAAAACACACUUGUAUCUGAAAUGUCACCUAACCCUCAGUUUCUUUCCUGUGUAUGCCAAUGCUACAGAUAAUAUAUGCAGGGGGAGAAAAAAAAAGACUGAUAUGGCGCUAAUAUAGUGCCGGUUAUCCGUGGAUAACGGAUGUAUGGUAGCAAGAGUCAAGAGCCUGCUCACCUUUAAGUGUUGCGCUAGUUUCAGGCGCAACACUGAUGAAAGCUUUGAGCAGGUGUCUUUUAGCAGGUACGCCGGGAGAAACUGGCCGUCGGUCCCGUCGGAGACGGUGGGUAGGAUAAUAUUGCAGA
Hyla sarda is the source of this 1185-nucleotide long non-coding RNA. RefSeq lists it as uncharacterized. The transcript has 3 exons. Lineage: Eukaryota; Metazoa; Chordata; Amphibia; Anura; Hylidae. The record is from RefSeq and is a predicted model, not a curated record.